Non-coding RNA from Podarcis lilfordi (Lilford's wall lizard), 71 nucleotides. The record is from the annotation of a GenBank genome assembly. NCBI's taxonomy places the organism in Eukaryota, Metazoa, Chordata, Lepidosauria, Squamata, Lacertidae.
GUAUUGGUGGUUCAGUGGUAGAAUUCUUGACUGCCAUUCGGGAGGCCCAGGCUUCAUUCUUGAUCAAUGCA